RNAcentral lists this ribosomal RNA (507 nucleotides) under uncultured bacterium. RNAcentral describes it as "partial 16S ribosomal RNA". It matches the Rfam family "Bacterial small subunit ribosomal RNA", at positions 30 to 523 of the family's 1533-position model. The record is from RNAcentral.
AUUGAACGCUGGCGGCAUGCCUAACACAUGCAAGUCGAACGGCAGCGCAGUAUGUAGCAAUACAUAUGGGUGGCGAGUGGCGGACGGGUGCGUAAUAUGUAGGGAUCUGCCCUGAAGCGGGGGACAACCCGGGGAAACCCGGGCUAAUACCGCAUAAUACUCUACGGAGGAAAUCUGGCACGCAAGUGCUGGGGCUUUAGGAUGAACCUACAUCCGAUUAGCUAGUUGGUGAGGUAAUAGCUCACCAAGGCAAUGAUCGGUAGCUGGUCUGAGAGGAUGACCAGCCACACUGGGACUGGGACACGGCCCAGACUCCUACGGGAGGCAGAAGUGGGGAAUAUUGGACAAUGGGGGAAACCCUGAUCCAGCAAUGCCGCGUGGGUGAAGGAGGCCUUCGGGUUGUAAAGCCCUUUAGGCGGGGAAGAAGGUUAUAGGGUGAUAAGCCUUAUAGCUUGACGGUACCCGCAGAAUAAGCACCGGCUAACUCUGUGCCAGCCGCCGCUGUAA